This 848-nucleotide long non-coding RNA is filed under the name Mytilus galloprovincialis (Mediterranean mussel). Lineage: Eukaryota; Metazoa; Mollusca; Bivalvia; Mytilida; Mytilidae. The record is from RNAcentral.
UGGAGCAUUUUGAGAUUUUUGGACAUUUUUGCUGUUUCCAUGGUAACGGUGUCCAUUUUGAAAAUUCCAACAACAGUUUCAAUAUCGACUUAUGCCAUGUGAUAUAUACAUAAAGUUUCUUUGAGUUUGAUCUUAUAUUCCUUUAGAAAAGGCUGGUUUGAUGUUUUUUCCCAUAGGUUCAAUGUUAAACUUUUCUCCAGUUUCCAUGGCAAUGGUACAGAUUUUGCAGAAGCUAAGUCCUGUUGGUACCUCAGGGCACCACUGCCAACAUUUACAUAAAGUUUCAUUAGGUUGGCUCUUAUAAUAAAAGAUUUAGAAUUUGGAUUUUUUUUUACAUUUUUGCAGUUUCCAUGGUAACGGCGGCCAUUUUUUACCAUUCCAAUGUCUCUUGCACAACUUCACAUGGAGGUUCAUAUUAUGGUAUAGUUUCAUCAACAUUGGUCUGACCAAUUCCGAGAAAUAGCGUGGACAAAAUGUGUGGAAGAAUAAAAAUAAGAAAAAAAAGAAACGAACAAUAACAAUAUGUCACCCCAACUCCGUUGAGGGUGCCAUAACUAGAUUUGCCAUUGCAAGCAAUAGCGGAUGGCACCCUUCCCACAUUGCCAGGCGAGCGGCAGCAAUCUAGAAAAUUCCAAAGUCAAAGUGUGCAUCUACACAUUCAAAUUAUCAUAUUUGUUAAGUUUCAUUAAGUUUGGAGCAUUUUGAAGUUUUUGACAUUUUUGCUGUUUCCAUGGUUACGGCGGCCAUUUUGAAAAUUCCAACUUCAAAAGUCAACGCUGCUUAUGCAAGUAACCAUUUCUGUAAAGUUUCAUCCAGUUUGCAGCACAUUUAUUUUUUUUUGAAUUUUU